GUCGAGGGGCAUCAGUUUGGUUUGCUUGCAAACCAAAGCUGGCGACCGGCGCACGGGUGAGUAACACGUAUCCAACCUGCCUCAUACUCGGGGAUAGCCUUUCGAAAGAAAGAUUAAUAUCCGAUAGCAUAUAUUUCCCGCAUGGGUUUUAUAUUAAAGAAAUUCGGUAUGAGAUGGGGAUGCGUUCCAUUAGUUUGUUGGCGGGGUAACGGCCCACCAAGACUACGAUGGAUAGGGGUUCUGAGAGGAAGGUCCCCCACAUUGGAACUGAGACACGGUCCAAACUCCUACGGGAGGCAGCAGUGAGGAAUAUUGGUCAAUGGACGCGAGUCUGAACCAGCCAAGUAGCGUGAAGGAUGACUGCCCUAUGGGUUGUAAACUUCUUUUAUACGGGAAUAAAGUGAGCCACGUGUGGCUUUUUGUAUGUACCGUAUGAAUAAGGAUCGGCUAACUCCGUGCCAGCAGCCGCGGUAAUACGGAGGAUCCGAGCGUUAUCCGGAUUUAUUGGGUUUAAAGGGAGCGUAGGCGGGUUGUUAAGUCAGUUGUGAAAGUUUGCGGCUCAACCGUAAAAUUGCAGUUGAUACUGGCGACCUUGAGUGCAACAGAGGUAGGCGGAAUUCGUGGUGUA
This 628-nucleotide ribosomal RNA is filed under the name uncultured bacterium. RNAcentral describes it as "bacterial SSU rRNA". It matches the Rfam family "Bacterial small subunit ribosomal RNA", at positions 61 to 677 of the family's 1533-position model. The record is from RNAcentral.